RNAcentral lists this ribosomal RNA (651 nucleotides) under Triticum aestivum (bread wheat). Its description in RNAcentral is "partial small subunit ribosomal RNA". Lineage: Eukaryota; Viridiplantae; Streptophyta; Magnoliopsida; Poales; Poaceae. The record is from RNAcentral.
AUGAAGCUCAGAAACCUCAUAACCCUUGAUUUGGGAGGGAACAGUUUCAGUGGCACAAUUCCUGAUUCUAUUGGUCAGCUCAAGAGACUGGAGAAGCUCCAUUUGAACAACAACAUAAUGUCUGGGGAGCUUCCAUCAGGUCUGGGCAGCUGCACAAAACUCAUAACCCUUGAUUUCGGAGGGAACGGUUUCAGUGGCACAAUACCUGAUUCUAUUGGUCAGCUCAAGAGACUAGAGAAGCUCCAUCUGAACAACAACAUAAUGUCUGGGGAGCUGCCAUCAGGUCUGGGGAGCUGCACAAAACUCACAACAAUUGACCUCAAGAACAACUACUUCAACGGAGAACUUAUGAAGGUCAACUUCUCCACCCUGUCAAAUCUAAGAAUUUUAGAUCUUCACAUCAACAACUUCACUGGCACAAUUCCAGAGAGCAUCUAUUCAUGCAGCAAUUUGAUCAUGCUGCAGCUAUCAGUCAGCCAUUUCCAUGGAGAGCUCUCGUCAAAAAUAGGAAAUCUGAAGUAUCUCUCCUUUUUCUCGAUUGCCGACAACAAUAUUACAAACAUCACAAACACACUUCACAUUCUUAAGCAGUGCAGGAACCUUAACACCCUGCUAAUUGGGCACAACUUCAGGGGUGAGCUCAUGCCAUAG